Molecule: unclassified non-coding RNA, 260 nt
Filed under: Hevea brasiliensis (rubber tree)
Lineage: Eukaryota; Viridiplantae; Streptophyta; Magnoliopsida; Malpighiales; Euphorbiaceae
Source: RNAcentral
GGAGCAGAAAGGUCAGGCCGAUCCCUUUGGUCUCUGUACUUGUUGAGGUUGGCAAGAUGAUUUCUGAUAAUUUCACACAAUCUGCGAAAUUCUGUUGUUCUUUUAUACACCUUACAAAACUGGAAGGCACGAUGGGCUGUCAUCGCAUAAAGUGCCUCCAACUUUGAGUUAUUCCUUAGUAUCUCAAGCACUGUUCGAUAUGUCUCCCACAGAAAUUUAAACCAGGGGGUAACGAGUUCGCGAUCAGACCUAUCUUUUCC